AACGAACGCUGGCGGCAGGCCUAACACAUGCAAGUCGAACGCCGUAGCAAUACGGAGUGGCAGACGGGUGAGUAACACGUGGGAACGUACCUUUCGGUUCGGAAUAACUCAGGGAAACUUGAGCUAAUACCGGAUACGUGCGAGAGCAGAAAGAUUUAUCGCCGAAAGAUCGGCCCGCGUCCGAUUAGCUAGUUGGUGAGGUAAUGGCUCACCAAGGCGACGAUCGGUAGCUGGUCUGAGAGGAUGAUCAGCCACACUGGGACUGAGACACGGCCCAGACUCCUACGGGAGGCAGCAGUGGGGAAUAUUGGACAAUGGGCGCAAGCCUGAUCCAGCCAUGCCGCGUGAGUGAUGAAGGCCCUAGGGUUGUAAAGCUCUUCGCCAGGGACGAUAAUGACGGUACCUGGAUAAGAAGCCCCGGCUAACUUCGUG
Molecule: ribosomal RNA, 432 nt
Filed under: uncultured bacterium
Lineage: Bacteria
Description: bacterial SSU rRNA
Rfam family: Bacterial small subunit ribosomal RNA
Source: RNAcentral